GGACCUCAGAUCAGGCAAGAUUACCCGCUGAGUUUAAGCAUAUCACUAAGCGGAGGAAAAGGAACUAACUAGGAUUUCCC
RNAcentral lists this ribosomal RNA (80 nucleotides) under Fuscocephaloziopsis pulvinata. Its description in RNAcentral is "partial 26S ribosomal RNA". It matches the Rfam family "Eukaryotic large subunit ribosomal RNA", at positions 1 to 80 of the family's 3401-position model. Lineage: Eukaryota; Viridiplantae; Streptophyta; Jungermanniopsida; Jungermanniales; Cephaloziaceae. The record is from RNAcentral.